GAGAACUGCCAGACAACUACAAUUGUCACUGCUUAGUAUAACUUCUUUCGAACCAAAAGUGAAUUAUACUUUUUAUUCAUUAGUCCAGUAGCCUUCCACCGCUAACCGAUCUUGCUGGGUCAGCACCACUAGCCAUCUCUUCCAGCAUUCCCAGCCAGCUACACAACUAAGCUAAAAGGCCGGUCACUUCUCUUACGUCAUUUCCCCCAGGAACAAACACAGCUCAUAAUUACACAACAACUUUCUUCCUUUUGUCUUUCUUUCAGCUUCUAAAUCAGAGUUUGCCCUAUAAGGUUAAGGUAAAUAACAAUUCUUCUAAUCGUUAUAUUCUAUUAGCAGAGAUCGGGAAUUCUCUAUUACCUAUUUCUUUCAUUCUUAAUGCUAGGCCAGGUUUA
Molecule: unclassified non-coding RNA, 395 nt
Filed under: Hevea brasiliensis (rubber tree)
Lineage: Eukaryota; Viridiplantae; Streptophyta; Magnoliopsida; Malpighiales; Euphorbiaceae
Source: RNAcentral